UAAAUUUAGAAAAUAAUGGUCCAAAUUCUAAUUCAUUCCUACAUUCCCCUAUGAAGCCAUCUUGUUGAGCGGUGAUAUCACUCCGAAUGCACUGUUCUGCAGCGUCGGUCAGUCGAUGGACAAAAUCGUGAUGUCUUCAGAUGGAGACUGGAGCGGCGAUGCGGGUUCACAAACGACUUUAUACGCAUCGACGAGGCUUAAGGUUGAGAUCUCAUCGCCGAGUUGAAUGACAGCGAGGUGGCCGACUAUGGUGGCGCGCUUGACGAAGGAGUUUAGGGGAGG
RNAcentral lists this long non-coding RNA (282 nucleotides) under Erythranthe guttata (spotted monkey flower). RNAcentral's name for it is "long non-coding RNA (EGUT_LNC000664)". The record is from RNAcentral. Lineage: Eukaryota; Viridiplantae; Streptophyta; Magnoliopsida; Lamiales; Phrymaceae.